Molecule: ribosomal RNA, 451 nt
Filed under: uncultured soil bacterium
Lineage: Bacteria
Description: bacterial SSU rRNA
Rfam family: Bacterial small subunit ribosomal RNA
Source: RNAcentral
AGAGCGAACGCUGGCGGCAGGCCUAACACAUGCAAGUCGAACGGACCCUUCGGGGUUAGUGGCGGACGGGUGAGUAACACGUGGGAACGUGCCUUUAGGUUCGGAAUAGCUCCUGGAAACGGGUGGUAAUGCCGAAUGUGCCCUUCGGGGGAAAGAUUUAUCGCCUUUAGAGCGGCCCGCGUCUGAUUAGCUUGUUGGUGAGGUAAUGGCUCGCCAAGGCUACGAUCAGUAGCUGGUCUGAGAGGAUGACCAGCCACAUUGGGACUGAGACACGGCCCAAACUCCUACGGGAGGCAGCAGUGGGGAAUCUUGCGCAAUGGGCGAAAGCCUGACGCAGCCAUGCCGCGUGUAUGAUGAAGGUCUUAGGAUUAGUAAAUACUUUCACCGGUUGAAAGAUAAUGACUGUAGCCGGAAGAAGAACGCCCCGGAUAACGUUCGUGCCAGCAGCCGC